GUAUUUCAUUGCGUUAAACGCGACAUACAUUCCAUUAGACUUCAUUUCGGUGUGUGUGUAAAGACAUAGAACCACAGCAGGAGGACAGGGCCCCCCAGGCCAUAGAACUACAGAGGGUGCACAGGUGUGAGUGGAUGUGUAAACAGAGCGUGCACAUGCCCCCUAUGAGGGCCAGCAACAACCCGUUUGACAAUUCAGUAAUGAUCCUUCCGCAGGUUCACCUACGGAAA
This 230-nucleotide unclassified non-coding RNA is filed under the name uncultured fungus. Its description in RNAcentral is "sequence contains ITS1". Lineage: Eukaryota; Fungi. The record is from RNAcentral.